RNA transcript from Zingiber officinale, 3372 nucleotides. It is a transcript of the gene named tetratricopeptide repeat protein 38-like, with no coding region annotated. The record is from RefSeq and is a predicted model, not a curated record. NCBI's taxonomy places the organism in Eukaryota, Viridiplantae, Streptophyta, Magnoliopsida, Zingiberales, Zingiberaceae. The transcript has 12 exons.
CAAAACAAAGGGAAGCAGCUCGAGAUCGAGUCAGAGAGAGAGAGAGGGAGAGGGAGAUGGGCGGUAGUGAGGAGGCGGCGACGCGAAGGGACCGAUGGGGGUACCCAGUGAGGACGGCCUCCGGCGCCUGCAUCGACGCGAUCGACGCCUACUACGUGCAGGUCCUCGCCUACGGCCGCGACCGGGCUGUCAUCCUCCGCGCGGUCACCCACGAUCGCUCGUGCACCCUAGCUAACGCCCUCGCGGCACACUUCGUGGCGACCAAGAAGCCCCAGGAGGCCUCCCGUCUACUGCAUGCCGCCAACGCUUCUUUGGGCAAUGCUACACCGUACGAGAGAGCAGUGGUCGCAGCGAUCUCAUGUUUGGUGGGCGAUAAAAAAGACGAGGACUUGGCGCUUAAUCGGCACAUCGAGCUAUUGAAGGAGUUUCCUAAGGAUAUGUUAUCACUCAAGAGAGCACAGAUCUUAUGUUUCUACUUGGGUCGGCCUGUUGUGUCUCUUAACAUAGUUCAACAGGUGCUUGUACACAAUGAAGGCCUUAGCUAUAUCUACGGUAUGCUUUCUUUUCCAUUGUUGGAGCUUGGGAGAAUGACUGAAGCUGAGGAAGCUGCAAGAAAAGGAUUGAGUAUCAACAGUUGUGAUUUCUGGUCACAACAUAAUUUGUGCCAUGUUCUUCAAAAUGACUGUCGUUUCAAAGAAGCCACAAGUUUCAUGGAAGCUUGUUCUUCCUCAUGGGAUUCCUGUUCAUCUUUCAUGUAUACACACAACUGGUGGCAUGUUGCUGUUUGUUAUUUGGAAGGUGAUUCUCCUUUAAAUAGGGUUCUUGAAGUUUAUGAUGAAAAUAUUUGGAAGGGAUUACUGAGAAUUGAUGCUGAGCCAGUAGAAGUGUAUAUCAAUGCUUUAGGGUUGCUGCUUAGAAUCUACCUGCGCGGCCAUACCCAUGAUAUUGUUGAUAGGCUGAAGUUGCUGACAUCUGCUUUAAAGGAUCAGUCCAUAUGGCAUGUUGAAUGGUUGCUAGAUAUACUGGCAUUGUGGGCAUUGGCUUGCACAAAAGAGACAAAUAGAGCAGAGGAUUUACUUCACUCAAUUAAAUCGAGAUUUUCUACAUGGAGCAGUCAGAAGCAAAAGUCAAUGCAAGCUGCAGUACAGGUUUGCAAUGUUUAUUUGAUUUCCAUCAUGUUGGUAUCUAUUUGUCAAAUCUCUAGGCAUUUCCUAGAUGCUAGAGGAAAACUAUGGCCUCUACUUGAUGGAUUAUAUUAAGACAAAAUUCUCAAAUCGCGCAUUAGGUGCAUCUAGUUUUGUUAUCACCCAAUGCGUGCGCCUCCCAAAAGUAAACAACCUAAAAUAAUCUCUCUCAUUUCAUUGGUUAUCUCAACAUAUGUUAAGUAGAGUCUAGUCAAUUAAUGAAUUAUUCAGUGACUACUAGAUUGACACUAGUUUUUAUAAGCUAAAAUAAUGAUUUUCACCUACAUGGACCUACACAUAUUCACAUUAAAAAAUGGUGACAUGAAUGUCUUUGUGGGAGUCCGAGAAGUGCACUGGGGUCUUAGAUUUACAUUUCUACAUGUGGAGGUUUAUCAAAGUGAAUCUCAAUGGAUCCACAUUGCUCAAAAUGAAAGUUUGAGGGCAUGUAUGUGUUCAUGGGACCUCAAAGAGCACAUUGAUGAUUGCACAUUUGCAUUUUGACACCUAAAUAUCUAUUUAGGUGAAAUGGUUAUUUUACUUUGGAUCUUCAAUUCUCAAAAUGCAAAUAUGAAAGCGUGAAUGGUUUCCUGAGACCUCCAGAAGCACAUCAACAUGUAGAUGUUUAUUAAGGUAAUAUGUUCAUUUCACCUUAAUAGACCUACAUUGUUCAAAAUAUAAGUGUGAUGGCAUGUUUAAGUUCCUGGAUCUCUAGGAUCACAUUGGUAGCCUCAUAUUUGCAUUUUUUACUUACGGAGGUCUAUCAAGGUGAAACAAUAAUUUUAACUCGAAACAUUUCUCUUAUAUAAACUUACAUCUGGAAGCUAGUGUGAGGAAAUGUAUGAAUUUCUAGGAUAGAGAAAGAGAAGAUGAGAGCCGGAGGCACUGACUUUGAGACUUCAUGUGUCAUGAUGAGAAGGAUGGCGCGGCGGUGGGUGCAUGAGGCAUGAUUGGGCUAUACAGAUGGUCAAAUCAUGAUAUUGAUGUGUGGAGCCAGUGGGAGAGUUGCCGCAUGGGGUGUUGUGAGGAAGAAAGUUGAUAGAGGAAGAAAAAGAAAAACGAGAGGUGACAAGCUUGCAUGGAAGGAGAUAUUGCAAGGAUGAUUGGCAUGGAGAAAAAACUGUGGGAAAACGGUGGCUUAGGGAUGUGGUAUUAUUAACACACAACACAGAUACCCCUAUAGCAUACAAAAUUACAUCAUUUCCAUGACAAUCAGUAUAGUCCAAUUCUAUCACAGAUUUCUUGUUCAAAAUACUAAAACUGCUAGGUGUAAAUCACCUUGGAUUCAUACUGAGUGCUUCCUUUGAGUACACUAUGUUUCUACAUGUGACGAUAGUUUGCACUUUCAUUUGAAUACGACCAUCUAACUGCAAGGUUGAUUCAGCUUGCAGAAGCUAUUUAUGAAUAUGGAAGGAGUAACUUCUUUAAAGUCUUUGAUUUGCUUGGUCCAAAUUUUGAUGCCAUUAACUUCAAAAUGAUCGGAGCAUCUGAUGAACAGCUUGAUGUCUUCAAUGAAGUUUGGUACAUAGUCUUGCUGAAUAGCGGACAAGUUCCCAAAGCUAUUGAAGCCCUGAAAAAGCAAGUUAGCAAAAGGCCAGGAGCACCUUUUCUUUGGCGGUUGCUGGAACAUCUGAAUGUCAUAUGUCUCUCCAAAUUUGAAGACCUCCAUGCUCUUCUAGAGCUCUCUUGUUCUCCCUUUUUCAUAUUUUGAAAACACUUCCAACGAACUUGCUCAAAAUGUAUAUGAUAGAGACUCAUUUCUCGUGUUCUUCUUUUUCCUGCCUUGCGCCCGAUAAAAAACAACACUGGUUACUGCGACCGCUACUUAUUCGAUGAAAUGCAAAUAGAGCAUCAGUGUGUGUAUUAUCUUUCAGAUGAAUGAAUGCUACAUGUUCCUAAGUUAGCUUUGCCCUUCAUAGAGCACCUUAAUAUGCACUUCAUGUGUGUUUUAUCCAGGAGAAGGCAUAUUCUAUCGAAGGAAUGCCCGAUCAGUUUCUCGCGGCCGAAAAGGCCAAGACUUUGGGAGCUGCCUAUUUCAGGUAAGUCGCGAAUUGUAAGACUAUGACAAUAAUGAUGCCUCAGAGAAGGGCAAAAUGUAACUGUUAUUCCUUCACACAAAUACAAAGACUUCUACUACUUUGUUCUUGCUAAAAGAUAUCGAGUGAGAAGAUUGGUGAUGUUCAUGUGGAUA